GAUGAACGCUGGCGGCGUGCCUAAUACAUGCAAGUCGAGCGAACAGAUGAGGAGCUUGCUCCUCUGACGUUAGCGGCGGACGGGUGAGUAACACGUGGAUAACCUACCUAUAAGACUGGGAUAACUUCGGGAAACCGGAGCUAAUACCGGAUAAUAUAUUGAACCGCAUGGUUCAAUAGUGAAAGACGGUUUUGCUGUCACUUAUAGAUGGAUCCGCGCCGCAUUAGCUAGUUGGUAAGGUAACGGCUUACCAAGGCAACGAUGCGUAGCCGACCUGAGAGGGUGAUCGGCCACACUGGAACUGAGACACGGUCCAGACUCCUACGGGAGGCAGCAGUAGGGAAUCUUCCGCAAUGGGCGAAAGCCUGACGGCAACGCCGCGUGAGUGAUGAAGGUCUUCGGAUCGUAAAACUCUGUUAUUAGGGAAGAACAAAUGUGUAAGUAACUAUGCACGUCUUGACGGUACCUAAUCAGAAAGCCACGGCUAACUACGUG
Molecule: ribosomal RNA, 495 nt
Filed under: uncultured bacterium
Lineage: Bacteria
Description: partial 16S ribosomal RNA
Rfam family: Bacterial small subunit ribosomal RNA
Source: RNAcentral